CCUACGGGUGGCAGCAGUGAGGAAUAUUGGUCAAUGGACGAGAGUCUGAACCAGCCAAGUAGCGUGAAGGAUGACUGCCCUAUGGGUUGUAAACUUCUUUUAUAUGGGAAUAAAAUGUUCCACGUGUGGGAUUUUGUAUGUACCAUAUGAAUAAGGAUCGGCUAACUCCGUGCCAGCAGCCGCGGUAAUACGGAGGAUCCGAGCGUUAUCCGGAUUUAUUGGGUUUAAAGGGAGCGUAGGUGGAUUGUUAAGUCAGUUGUGAAAGUUUGCGGCUCAACCGUAAAAUUGCAGUUGAUACUGGCAGUCUUGAGUACAGUAGAGGUGGGCGGAAUUCGUGGUGUAGCGGUGAAAUGCUUAGAUAUCACGAAGAACUCCGAUUGCGAAGGCAGUUCACUGGACUGCAACUGACACUGAGGCUCGAAAGUGUGGGUAUCAAACAGGAUUAGAUACCCUAGUAGUC
Molecule: ribosomal RNA, 460 nt
Filed under: uncultured bacterium
Lineage: Bacteria
Description: partial 16S ribosomal RNA
Rfam family: Bacterial small subunit ribosomal RNA
Source: RNAcentral